Gasterosteus aculeatus aculeatus (three-spined stickleback) is the source of this 1304-nucleotide long non-coding RNA. The record is from Ensembl. NCBI's taxonomy places the organism in Eukaryota, Metazoa, Chordata, Actinopteri, Perciformes, Gasterosteidae.
UAAGGUUGUUUCGCUCAGCUGAUUAGCAAACGAGGGAGACAAAUUGACGGCACUCCGAAGACUCGGGUGCCAUGCCUUGUCCUUGGACCCAAAAGGACGCGCCAUUUCUACGCACUCUGCAUUGCUGGAACGGCCUGACGGACUCCGGGCUGCAUUUCUUCUUGAGGUAACUUGCCUACAUACAUCAUCUAAGCUAUAUUUUAAUGUGAUGCUAUGUUUUCCAUAAUUUUGCAUCACCGUUAUUUGUAAUAACGUGAUGUAACGUUAGGUUAUGGGUUUCUGCACUGAACGUUAGCUAGCUAGCUAGCAUUAGUUUACCAAACAUUGGCUAGGGAAAUGUUUCAAUGUAAUUACUUUGGCAGGUCGGUUAAAACACCAAGGGGUUAUGUGCUUCAUUUCAAACUUCAUAGAAAUAAACCACGUUGUUUGUUUAAGCGCGUUUAAGCUGGUUGCAAAGAGACCUUUGUUCGACAUGGAGCAUUUAAGGCUCAUUUCUACCGGACACAUAUUGUUAACUUAUCAGCUUCUGUGAACGUUACUGUAAGGACAGCUCUCAAAUGCGGUGUGGCGUUAUGUGAACGUCACUGUCAAAAUACAAAACAGCUAAUGGCUCAUUUGAAGGAGCAUCUCUUGGAAGGACGCGUGAGUUGUCGAGUAAGUGGAUGUAAAAACGUUUUCUUGGUCAAAUCCUCAUUCACCGCUAACAUGUCACACAAAAUGUAUACAAAAUGUAUAAUUGAUGGGAUUCAUUAUAUGUGCAGUUAUCCUGGUUGUUAAAAAAUUAACCACAUAAAACAUGAAGCUAAGUCUUGAUUGAGUCUUAAGAGUGAAUGUCAUGCUGUCAGUCCAGCAGGUCCCCCUGUGUUUGUUUGUUUGCUUUGCCUGUGUGUCCCCUGUCUCUGCAAGGAGGUGUGGUCUUCCCCUGUUCGUCCCGAAGGGCGUGGCUGGAACAGCUAGCUGACAGCAAUCAGCCAUCAGGGGACUCUCCUACAUCAACCCGGGUCUUCCUGCCAUUCAGCGCCAGAUCGUUCUGUUAUCAGAGUGAGAGGAUCCUCCCAAUCCGCAGUGAACACCUGAGGAUACAAGUCCUCAAGCAGAAGUCCCGAACCGCUCCGCUUUCUGGAUCUUGAUUUACAAUAAGCUUUAUUUAAUAUUUCCUGAUGUUGACUGAAAUAUAUGCCAACCAAUUGUAAUACAGUAUGCCUUAUUUUUUUGCAAUGGAAUUCUGGAAAAUACAGUUGCUGGCAAUUUGCUGUAACUGUAAUAAAAUACCGUAACUCAAACAGUUGUACUGUGUUUAUCUC